GCCGGGUGCAGUAGCAUGUGACUGUAGUCCCAGCAACUCAGGAGGCUGAGGUGGGACGAUCGCUUGAGCCCAGGAGUUCUGGGCUGUAGUGUGCUAUGCCAAUUGGGUGUCCACGCUAAGUUUGGCAUCAAUAUGGUGACCUCCUGGGAGCAGGGGACCACCAGGUUGCCCAAGGAGAGGUGAACUGUGCCAGGUUGGAAACAGAGCAGGCCAAAACUCCCGUGCUGAUCAGUGGUGGGAUCGUGCCUGUGAAUAGCCACUGCACUCCAGCCUGGGCAACAUAGCGAGACCUCGUCUCU
This 299-nucleotide signal recognition particle RNA is filed under the name Saimiri boliviensis boliviensis (Bolivian squirrel monkey). Its description in RNAcentral is "Metazoan signal recognition particle RNA (ENSSBOG00000006520.1)". It matches the Rfam family "Metazoan signal recognition particle RNA". Rfam says of the family: The signal recognition particle (SRP) is a universally conserved ribonucleoprotein. It is involved in the co-translational targeting of proteins to membranes. Lineage: Eukaryota; Metazoa; Chordata; Mammalia; Primates; Cebidae. The record is from RNAcentral.